Molecule: ribosomal RNA, 848 nt
Filed under: Beltraniella podocarpi
Lineage: Eukaryota; Fungi; Ascomycota; Sordariomycetes; Amphisphaeriales; Beltraniaceae
Description: partial large subunit ribosomal RNA
Rfam family: Eukaryotic large subunit ribosomal RNA
Source: RNAcentral
AAAAGAAACCAACAGGGAUUCCCCUAGUAACGGCGAGUGAAGCGGGAACAGCUCAAAUUUGAAAUCUGGCCUUCGGGUCCGAAUUGUAAUUUGCAGAGGAUGCUUUUGGUUAGGUACUUUCCGAGUUCCCUGGAACGGGACGCCUUAGAGGGUGAGAGCCCCGUACGGUUGGAUACCGAGCCUUUGUAAAGCUCCUUCGACGAGUCGAGUAGUUUGGGAAUGCUGCUCUAAAUGGGAGGUAAAUUUCUUCUAAAGCUAAAUACCGGCCAGAGACCGAUAGCGCACAAGUAGAGUGAUCGAAAGAUGAAAAGCACUUUGAAAAGAGGGUUAAAUAGCACGUGAAAUUGUUGAAAGGGAAGCGUUUAUGACCAGACUUUUUCCAGGCGGAUCAUCCGGUGUUCUCACCGGUGCACUUCGUCUGGUUGAGGCCAGCAUCGGUUUUCGUAGAGGGAUAAAAGCUUUAGGAAUGUGGUUCCCCUGGGAAUGUUAUAGCCUAUUGUAUAAUACCUUUAUGGGGACCGAGGUUCGCGCAUCUGCAAGGAUGCUGGCGUAAUGGUCAUCAACGACCCGUCUUGAAACACGGACCAAGGAGUCGAACAUUUGUGCGAGUGUUUGGGUGUUAAACCCUCACGCGUAAUGAAAGUGAACGGAGGUGAGAGCCCUUACGGGUGCAUCAUCGACCGAUCCUGAUGUUUUCGGAUGGAUUUGAGUAAGAGCAUAACUGUUCGGACCCGAAAGAUGGUGAACUAUGCGUGGAUAGGGUGAAGCCAGAGGAAACUCUGGUGGAGGCUCGCAGCGGUUCUGACGUGCAAAUCGAUCGUCAAAUCUGCGCAUGGGGGCGAAAGACU